Molecule: non-coding RNA, 160 nt
Filed under: Bigelowiella natans
Lineage: Eukaryota; Cercozoa; Chlorarachniophyceae
Source: RNAcentral
UCAUCGGAUUUCUGGCAUACCGCCUUCUCAAUUUGGAUGCAGAUAAAAAGAAAAAGUCGAAAAAAGAUUCGAAGAAGAAAAAGAAAAGAUCAAAGAAGGAGAAAUAGAUGUGCUGCAGACUUUUGAUUCAUUUCUCUACGAUUUGUUUGAUACAAAGCUU